Molecule: ribosomal RNA, 445 nt
Filed under: uncultured bacterium
Lineage: Bacteria
Description: bacterial SSU rRNA
Rfam family: Bacterial small subunit ribosomal RNA
Source: RNAcentral
UAAGGAAUAUUGGACAAUGGUGGCAACACUGAUCCAGCCAUGCCGCGUGCAGGAUGACAGCCCUAUGGGUCGUAAACUGCUUUUGUACGGGAAAAAAACACUCUUCGUGAAAGAGUACUGAUUGUACCGUAAGAAUAAGGAUCGGCUAACUCCGUGCCAGCAGCCGCGGUAAUACGGAGGAUCCAAGCGUUAUCCGGAUUCAUUGGGUUUAAAGGGUGCGUAGGCGGAAUUGUAAGUCAGUGGUGAAAGCCUGUUGCUUAACAACAGAACUGCCAUUGAUACUGCAAAUCUUGAGUACAUUUGAUGUGGGCGGAAUGUGUCAUGUAGCGGUGAAAUGCUUAGAUAUGACACAGAACACCGAUUGCGAAGGCAGCUCACAAAACUGUAACUGACGCUGAGGCACGAAAGCGUGGGUAUCAAACAGGAUUAGAUACCCCUGUAGUCC